GAGAGUUUUGCCUACUACAGCGGUAACCGCUAGUCUCCCUGCGAGGCGACACGCUCAAUGUGCGGAGAGCCCUCCCCCGAGGCAAUCCGCAGUGGCCUGCGCGGCCAUUCAGAGACUCAAUGAGCGUGGGUUCAGCGCGGCUGAGCUUGAGAUAGAGCCCGUCCCUGCCGGCAACGGCGGGGAGGAAACGGAACCUGCGGAAGGAUCAUUACAGAAGAACAUACGCCUU
Molecule: ribosomal RNA, 229 nt
Filed under: Lophodermium sp. 'ayazem2 Morelos'
Lineage: Eukaryota; Fungi; Ascomycota; Leotiomycetes; Rhytismatales; Rhytismataceae
Description: partial 18S ribosomal RNA
Source: RNAcentral